UGAGAGAUGGCAGGCCAUUUAGCUGACUCU
This 30-nucleotide non-coding RNA is filed under the name Homo sapiens (human). Lineage: Eukaryota; Metazoa; Chordata; Mammalia; Primates; Hominidae. The record is from RNAcentral.